UCCCUUAAGUUGAUCUUGAGAGAAAACCUAAUUACAGUAGGAAGAUGCGUGUGGCCGUGUUGUUAAUAGUGGUGAUGGCUGGCACAGCAGCAGCUUACCCAGAUGGAGGACGAGGCCACAGAGCUCAUCAACAACAAGCUGGUGAGAGACUAAUUGCCUCUGCACUGGCAGGAGCAGCACAAGGAGUCCUCAGUGAAGUUCUCAAUUCCAAUGAUCCUUAUCAUGGACAUUAUGACCACCACUAUCACCAACACCAAGACCCCUACCAUCACGGAUCUAACAUUUACGCCCAUGGUUUUGGCUAUAACCAACCUGGAUUUGGUCUUGGUGGUUAUAAUGGGUAUUAUCACCCUGGCUUGGGCUACAAUAAUUACUAUGGGUAGAUUCAACAUUCCCACAGCUUGUGUAUACAGUAGUUGUACAGUACAUACUUCUUUGUUUGUCUUCACCUGUAAAUGUUCCCUGCCUGUCUACACUUCAUAAAUUCCCCACCUGUUUACACUUGCAUAUAUUCCCACUGCCUGUCUACAAUUGUUUACAUGGUAUUCUAAUAACAAAAUAUUUAUUGUAUUGUACAAUACAGUACUGUGCGGUAUUGUAUUUUUUUUUAAGUUUAACACAAUCAAUCUACAGCUAUUCAUUUAUAUUUAUCAUGAUGCAAUAAUUUAAAAAGUUUGAGGCAUUCAUAUUUAUAUUAAGUACAUCAUAAAUUAAUAUUAAUUCCUUUUUAUGAUCUUAAGAGUCCCCUAAAUAAUACUUACUCAAACCUUCACUUGAUGUUUUCCUCAUUGUCCUUUAAAUGUUGUACUGUACAGUACAUCACUUUAUUGUACCAAGUGACUUUUAUGAUGUUGUACAGCAUCUUAUUGUACCAUGUUGCAUACUUAAUGUUAUACAGCACAUUAUUGUACCAAAUGCCCAACAUCACUACUCCAUGCCACCAGGUAAUACAAGCAGUACCCAGAAGUUAGCACCUCAAGGCUGGGUUUCCCUUGAUUAUUAAGAUCGAAGACAAACUUGUGGAAGAAAUGGGUUCAAUUACACUCAGGAAAAAUCAAGGUGGAAGGGAAGAAAAAUAAUAACUUCUGUAAUAUAUUAAUUUUUAACAUUUCAUUUCAAUAAGGAAACAAAAUUUUAUGAGUAUCUUUACAGACUCAAGACAAGAAAGAUUGGAGGAUAAAAUAAAUGGUUCUGAUUACAUCUAAAUAUCUUAUGUCUGUGAUUGUAAUAGUACUGAAUUUGCAGGAGUUUCAAAGUGACAAAUUUCAAAUAUAUUCAGUUUUGUUUUUAUAUUUUUGAUCACUGUAGCCAAGUCAUAGGGUCACACUAAUCUAAAUAUCAUUGUAUCUGUAUUAACUGGACUAUUGAUGUAGGAGUGUAAGUUAUGUAUGUCUGCAGGAUAGGAAAAAGAUCCUAUACAUCUGCUUACAGUAUAUACCAUGACAACCACUAAAGCUUUAAUAUUUUGGAGGUUAGAACAUCUUGUAUGUGAGGAAAAGUAGAUAUUAUCCUUGCAGUCCCUAACUACAGCUACUGUACUAAAUGUUGUCGAACAGAAUUUAAUGAUUAUAAUGUGUCUCAGCAUCAAUUCCAGACAUUUCCAGAAAAGACAGGUGGUCAUUUAGUCAACCUACCUAGUCAGUGUACUGUAUACUGCUGAUAUUAUUUCAACACUGUCAAUCUUCUACGGAAAAGUACUGAAUCUAUGAAAGCAGAAUGGAAUAAAUGAGAGGAAAAAACACACAUACAUGAACAAGUAAACAUCAGCACAACUCAAGUCCCACAGCAAAAACAACAAUCAUAUCUCAGGUUGAAUAAAAAUCUCCCUGCAUGUCAUCAUUUAUGUAUUAUAUAGAUAGCUUACAAUACUGAGAACAUUGUAAGGUUUAGAACAUUCAGAGGAUCAAAACAAAUAAAAACAUGUCAAGUUAAACUCUUCAGCAAAUUA
Long non-coding RNA from Homarus americanus (American lobster), 1948 nucleotides. RefSeq lists it as uncharacterized. The transcript is spliced from 2 exons. The record is from RefSeq and is a predicted model, not a curated record. NCBI's taxonomy places the organism in Eukaryota, Metazoa, Arthropoda, Malacostraca, Decapoda, Nephropidae.